This 346-nucleotide non-coding RNA is filed under the name Pongo abelii (Sumatran orangutan). The record is from RNAcentral. RNAcentral also lists the same sequence under 1 other name. Lineage: Eukaryota; Metazoa; Chordata; Mammalia; Primates; Hominidae.
AUCUCUUCCACAUUCCUCCUUCUUAUAAGAGCACAGUAACACUAUCCUGGAAACCUGUACAAAAGGUUGAGAUUGGGCAAAAGAGAGCCAGUGAAGAUACAACUUCAGGUUCACCACCCAAGAAAUCUUCAGCAGGACCAAAAAGAGAUGCCAGGCAGAUUUAUAACCCUCCCAGUGGGAAAUAUAGCAGCAAUUUGGGCAACUUUAAUUAUGAAAGGGGGGUCAAAAAAGACAUCAAGACAUCACCCUAGUAAGACAUAAUGGCAAAAAAAUUGAUUGCAAAAUUGACUGAAAAGGUAUUUUUCAAGCCUCCAAGAUUGUGGAUCAAAAACAGCAAAACCAAGCU